UACUAGGAAUAAUGCGAUAGAGAUAUCGAAUAAGUUUAGAAAACUAUGAUAGGAUGAUGUUACGAUGAGAAUAGGGGAGGAGAAAAAUUGUGAGAAAUAUUACUUAUAAUAUUAGAAAGAAAGUUUAAUGAAUUAAUAAAAUUGAUUAAAUUAUUUAUUAAAAAUUGAAAAUAUAAUAUCUUGAAAAUAAUGACUUUCUGAAAUAUGAUAUGUUCAUUAUAUAAAGAAAUAAAGUACUUUUAGAAAUGUAGUACAUCAAAUGGUUUUUUUUACGACAUUAUAUUUUCUUUUAAUUAUAUGUUCAAAGUAAUUUCCGAUAGAUAGAUCACAGUGUUUUCUCGUAGAUCGUCAAAUUUGUUCGAAAAUUUUUAAAGUGUUUCGAAUAAUUUGAUUACCUUUCACUCAUUAAUCAAUAAUUUCCUUUUGCUAAUUAUUAAAUUCCAUCGAAUUACUUUUUUCCAUUAAACGAACAAUCGUAGUACUCGUAACAAAAUAUAUUUCCUUAUAGAAAUGUAGACUUUAUUCUUUUUCUGAUUCUUUCUUUUUUUUUCUUUUUUUUUUUUUUUUGAAAAAUUCUCAUCCAUAAAGGUUUCUAUCGGUUGUGUGAUACAAUCGGUAAAAGUUACGAGCAGAUUCCAUAUCUGUGAGUCUGUAGGAUUAUUUUUAAAGCACGCCGAUAGAUACCAUACCGAUAUUCUCUCGCUCUUCGUUAUACGGUGUAUAGACUGUAGAACGAUAUUGUGUGACAUGAAUUCUCACCUAGUAUGAGAAGUUUAGAAGCAUACGUGUUCGAGCUUGUUUCGUUGCAUACAACAACGCACGUGGCAUGUCACACGUCGCGAAUGUCUUCCUCAACAACGUGUUUAACGAGUUAGAAGAGCAAAACAACCCUGAUUAUUAUACACCUGAUGUUCCUUAAUCGGCAUAAAGGCUCUUUCUAUUUUUAACUCACAAUGAUAUAAUAACGACGUUUCGGAGAACGAAACGCAUAAUGAUAAAGUCCACACGGGAUUAUUUAACGGAAUGCGAACGUCGAAAAUUCGAUGGAAAGUAGAGAGCUAGAGGGAAAAGCUUUGUCGCAUGGCCAUUAGAAUGCCUCGCGUGCCAACACAUGACAGUAAUUAUGCUUAAUUAAUCUAAUAGCGGUAGAUGAUAAUUUGCAUACGCAUAAUGCGUGCAUUGAUCUGUACGCGUUUCGCAUGUAAUAUCAGCAGCUGUACUCGAUCGGACUGGUACGUAUGCUAUUGCGUAUUUUAUAUCGCAAUUGCUCGGAUUCGUUAUUGAAUUUAAAUGAUUCGCUCGCUUUCGCUUCGGACGACAUGAAAUGAAUUUUUUAGAAAAACGACUAUUUCAUUUUCUAUGAGUAUCGGAGUUGGAUAUGAAAGAUAUAGAUAGUGAGAUAUGUAUUAUAUGUACUAUAUAUCUUCUUACAUUAAUCAUGCCCUUUGAGUUAAAUCUCGCUGUUGCUCAUCGAUAAAUAAAUAAAUCAAAUUUUAUUUAUGGACCUCACGUUCGUAGAAGCCAUUGAAAGUUCCAUUUGAAAGGUCGAAAUACUAUUUACUAUUUAUACAACACGUUAUGGCUAGACAAGUUAUCAUCUCGCCACUCUUAUAAAAUUCUACUCACAGAAAGAACAUAUAUAUAUAUAUAUAUAUAUAUAUAUAUUUCGAUAGAUCAAAAGGUCAAGUAUCUGUACACGUUACGUUUUGAUAGGCCGUAAAUGUCUGCGUUGUUUUGAUUACCAACCUUGAGCCUGUCUAGGACGUUAAUAUUUCGAUCUUUCUCCGAGUCCGAGCGUGUUUCGUUUUCUGAAAGGAACAAAGCUCACUACGAAUAGGAUGGUAGUGAUGGCUGCUGGUAAUAAUAAAGUGGUGUUGUUUCGAUGAAGGAUGAUGGCGUCCAAUCAUAUUUAAGAAGAACUAAAUGACUACAUCGGGAGAAGAAAUGUGCCUACAUCUCUCUCUCUCUCUCUCUCUCUCUCUCUCUCUCUUCGAUGAGAGAAAAAUCUUUAUUUUCUAAAAAUAAUGCGAACUUUCGGAGAGUUGUUACGCCACUGCCUUUCACGGUCUCAAGCUGUCGAGUCCACGCGAGGAAAACAACCAACGUGUUUACGAAACUCCGCGCAGGGAGGUACUGUCAAGUGCGUUGUGCUCUUGUUUUCACGAGAAUUUUGUUAGGGAGUGGUAAAAAGACUGUCAGCUAUCGCGAUAUCGCGAACAGUUGUCGCUAGCGUGCAAGCGGUUAUCGUUUUCGUAAAAUUGUUACUACUACGUAAACUUUUCUCGAAUGUCAUUGGAGAAGUCCCGUCGCUUCAACCGUAACGGUAUAUUUUUACAUCAUCACGAGAAAGAGAAUAAAUCUAUUUUAUCGAUAUCAAUCCUUAACGGCAACGAAAUACAUACGAAGAAAAUAAUAUCAUAUUAUGUAUUAAUAAAUCGUAUUAAAAAAAAAAAAAAAAGAAAAGAAAAAAACAGAAAAAAAACAGAAGAAAAAGCCAAAAAGAAACGUGGGACAUUCUAAAAAAAAAAAAAAAAAAAAAAAAAAAAAAAAUAGAUUUAAAAAUGAAUAAUAUUUCUUCAUAUCUUUUGUUUCUCCGUAAUAUGAAAAAACAUGAACCGCUGUCAGACAAGCCGUGUUUACGUUGUACUUAUCUCCCCUUUAGUUCUUCCUCUCUUUCUCUCUUACUUUCAUAAAUAUUAUGAGACGUAAGUAAUACUUUGAGUUCGUAGCAAUAUCCUUUGUAUAAGCCGAGAAUGUAUCAACUAUACGUAAAACUAAAGGAAAUCAGUCUCGUUUUGUUUCAAUUUACGUAAAUAUCUUGAUAUCUUUAAAGUAUUAGUAAAAGUAAAAUGGUAAAAAGGAAAAAUCAAAGUUUCCACGAGAAUAAUUUAUAUAUUUAUUAUUCAUAUUAUCAUAAAAACGAGAUUUCAUAUAUUAAUACGUAAGUAAGUAAUUCUAUAUUUUUUUCGAAUGUAUAGAUUAUUGAAUGUAUAGAUUAUGUAGUAAUUAUUUGAAAAAAUACCGAAAGAGAAAGAGAGAGAGAGAGAGAGAGAGAGAGAGAGAGAGAGACAGAGAGAGAGAGAGAGAGAGAGAGAGAAACAAACGUUAUGUUACAAAUGGAGACAUGAGAGAAGGUUCUAGACAUUAAUCAUGGUUGAUUGAGCUUAAAGUAUUUAUUCUAAAAUGGUUGGCCGACGAUGUAAUAUUUCACGCAAAGUUGCCGAUCGAUCCGUUAUCACAUCGGCAACACCUGCCGAGUCAGCGGAUUAUUUAGGAGGUACUCACAGCGAAACGAUUAUAAAGUCAGGAUUUGAAUAAGGCCCUACUCGGCUUCAUAUGUAGAUAUAAUGCCUUCUAUUAAAUCCAUCUUCCGUAUUUGUCUUGGCAUCGAAGCAUCGUGUGCGUUACGAUUUGGUCGAUCGUAUUCGACUAUCAUGUUGUUCGACGUAAUCGAUGAUGAAAGAGCUCGAUGACCAUGUUCGCCUCAUCGCUUCUAUAUGCGUAAGCACUUUCUAUCUCUCUCUCUCUCUCUCUAUUUCUCUCUAUCUCUAUAUCUCUAUCUCUAUCUCUUUCUACUCAUAUUACAAUAGAUAGCGAAGGCGUUACAACGAAAUACGCUAACGAAUCAUUUGUCUCAAUAUGAUAAUAUAAUACCUAUUAAUUUUCUAUAUCUGCUACGUAAUUUUGAUAUUAUACACUAAUAUUAGUAUCUCUAAUGGACUGACAAUAAAUCAGAAUUCUUAAUAUUGCA
This is a long non-coding RNA of Vespa crabro (European hornet), 3751 nucleotides long. RefSeq lists it as uncharacterized. The transcript has 2 exons. The record is from RefSeq and is a predicted model, not a curated record. Lineage: Eukaryota; Metazoa; Arthropoda; Insecta; Hymenoptera; Vespidae.